GGUUAAGCGACUAAGCGUACACGGUGGAUGCCCUGGCAGUCAGAGGCGAUGAAGGGCGUGCUAAUCUGCGAUAAGCGCCGGUAAGGUGAUAUGAACCGUUAUAACCGGCGAUACCCGAAUGGGGAAACCCAGUGUGACUCGUCACACUAUCAUUAACUGAAUCCAUAGGUUAAUGAGGCGAACCGGGGGAACUGAAACAUCUAAGUACCCCGAGGAAAAGAAAUCAACCGAGAUUCCCCCAGUAGCGGCGAGCGAACGGGGAGGAGCCCAGAGCCUGAAUCAGCAUGUGUGUUAGUGGAAGCGUCUGGAAAGGCGCGCGAUACAGGGUGACAGCCCCGUACACAAAAGCGCAUGUGCUGUGAGCUCGAUGAGUAGGGCGGGACACGUGGUAUCCUGUCUGAAUAUGGGGGGACCAUCCUCCAAGGCUAAAUACUCCUGACUGACCGAUAGUGAACCAGUACCGUGAGGGAAAGGCGAAAAGAACCCCGGCGAGGGGAGUGAAAAAGAACCUGAAACCGUGUACGUACAAGCAGUGGGAGCACC
RNAcentral lists this ribosomal RNA (543 nucleotides) under Salmonella enterica subsp. enterica serovar Enteritidis str. CDC_2010K_1594. RNAcentral's name for it is "bacterial LSU rRNA". It matches the Rfam family "Bacterial large subunit ribosomal RNA", at positions 1 to 583 of the family's 2925-position model. Lineage: Bacteria; Pseudomonadati; Pseudomonadota; Gammaproteobacteria; Enterobacterales; Enterobacteriaceae. The record is from RNAcentral. RNAcentral also lists the same sequence under 1 other name.